Molecule: non-coding RNA, 81 nt
Filed under: uncultured Bariatricus sp.
Lineage: Bacteria; Bacillati; Bacillota; Clostridia; Lachnospirales; Lachnospiraceae
Description: Cyclic di-GMP-I riboswitch
Rfam family: c-di-GMP-I riboswitch aptamer
About the family: GEMM was predicted in a large-scale screen for bacterial structured RNA regulatory elements. Genes associated with GEMM are involved in a diverse array of functions, including chemotaxis regulation, signal transduction, secretion and chitin.
Source: RNAcentral
ACGGCAAAGCUGAUGAAAGUCAGUGACGCAAAACUAAAGGGACUAAUGGAUGGUAAAUUGUUCUAUGUCAGCCAGUUGCAG